This 253-nucleotide ribosomal RNA is filed under the name uncultured bacterium. RNAcentral's name for it is "partial 16S ribosomal RNA". It matches the Rfam family "Bacterial small subunit ribosomal RNA", at positions 524 to 776 of the family's 1533-position model. The record is from RNAcentral.
GACAGAGGGGGCAAGCGUUGCUCGGAAUUACUGGGCGUAAAGGGCUCGUAGGCGGCCAACUAAGUCAGACGUGAAAUCCCUCGGCUUAACCGGGGAACUGCAUCUGAUACUGGAUGGCUUGAGUUCGGGAGAGGGAUGCGGAAUUCCAGGUGUAGCGGUGAAAUGCGUAGAUAUCUGGAGGAACACCGGUGGCGAAGGCGGCAUCCUGGGCCAGUACUGACGCUGAGGAGCGAAAGCGUGGGGAGCAAACAGG